This 202-nucleotide ribosomal RNA is filed under the name uncultured Pseudomonas sp. Its description in RNAcentral is "partial 16S ribosomal RNA". It matches the Rfam family "Bacterial small subunit ribosomal RNA", at positions 1181 to 1382 of the family's 1533-position model. Lineage: Bacteria; Pseudomonadati; Pseudomonadota; Gammaproteobacteria; Pseudomonadales; Pseudomonadaceae. The record is from RNAcentral.
GACGUCAAGUCAUCAUGGCCCUUACGGCCUGGGCUACACACGUGCUACAAUGGUCGGUACAAAGGGUUGCCAAGCCGCGAGGUGGAGCUAAUCCCAUAAAACCGAUCGUAGUCCGGAUCGCAGUCUGCAACUCGACUGCGUGAAGUCGGAAUCGCUAGUAAUCGUGAAUCAGAAUGUCACGGUGAAUACGUUCCCGGGCCUU